GUACAAUGCUCUGUACGCAGCA
RNAcentral lists this microRNA (22 nucleotides) under Ornithorhynchus anatinus (platypus). RNAcentral's name for it is "oan-miR-7401-3p". Lineage: Eukaryota; Metazoa; Chordata; Mammalia; Monotremata; Ornithorhynchidae. The record is from miRBase by way of RNAcentral.